Molecule: ribosomal RNA, 325 nt
Filed under: Mycobacterium sp. Ri487
Lineage: Bacteria; Bacillati; Actinomycetota; Actinomycetes; Mycobacteriales; Mycobacteriaceae
Description: bacterial SSU rRNA
Rfam family: Bacterial small subunit ribosomal RNA
Source: RNAcentral
CGUGGGUGAUCUGCCCUGCACUUUGGGAUAGCCUGGGAAACUGGGUCUAAUACCGAAUACACCCUGCUGGUCGCAUGGCCUGGUGGGGGAAAGCUUUUGCGGUGUGGGAUGGGCCCGCGGCCUAUCAGCUUGUUGGUGAGGUUACGGCUCACCAAGGCGACCACGGGUAGCCGGCCUGAGAGGGUGACCGGCCACACUGGGACUGAGAUACGGCCCAGACUCCUACGGGAGGCAGCAGUGGGGAAUAUUGCACAAUGGGCGCAAGCCUGAUGCAGCGACGCCGCGUGAGGGAUGACGGCCUUCGGGUUGUAAACCUCUUUCCCCA